GAUGAACGCUGACAGAAUGCUUAACACAUGCAAGUCGACUCGAGUCUUCGGACUUGGGUGGCGCACGGGUGAGUAACGCGUAAAGAACUUGCCUCUUAGACCGGGACAACAUCUGGAAACGGAUGCUAAUACCGGAUAUUAUGGUUUUUUCGCAUGGAGGAAUCAUGAAAGCUAGAUGCGCUAAGAGAGAGCUUUGCGUCCCAUUAGCUAGUUGGUGAGGUAACGGCCCACCAAGGCAAUGAUGGGUAGCCGGCCUGAGAGGGUGAACGGCCACAAGGGGACUGAGACACGGCCCUUACUCCUACGGGAGGCAGCAGUGGGGAAUAUUGGACAAUGGACCACAAGUCUGAUCCAGCAAUUCUGUGUGCACGAUGACGUUUUUCGGAAUGUAAAGUGCUUUCAGUCGGGAAGAAGUCAGUGACGGUACCGACAGAAGAAGCGACGGCUAAAUACGUGCCAGCAGCCGCGGUAAUACGUAUGUCGCAAGCGUUAUCCGGAUUUAUUGGGCGUAAAGCGCGUCUAGGCGGCAAGGAAAGUCUGAUGUGAAAAUGCGGAGCUCAACUCCGUAUGGCGUUGGAAACUGCCUUACUAGAGUACUGGAGAGGUAGGCAGAACUACAAGUGUAGAGGUGAAAUUCGUAGAUAUUUGUAGGAAUGCCGAUGGGGAAGCCAGCCUACUGGACAGAUACUGACGCUAAAGCGCGAAAGCGUGGGUAGCAAACAGG
This 724-nucleotide ribosomal RNA is filed under the name uncultured Fusobacterium sp. Its description in RNAcentral is "bacterial SSU rRNA". It matches the Rfam family "Bacterial small subunit ribosomal RNA", at positions 28 to 776 of the family's 1533-position model. The record is from RNAcentral. Lineage: Bacteria; Fusobacteriati; Fusobacteriota; Fusobacteriia; Fusobacteriales; Fusobacteriaceae.